AUCUGCGUAGAUGUCGAUAAAAAAAAUUAAUAAAUUUUUUUUCUAAUCUUCGCUCGAGAGGAAAGAAAAAAAUGCACGAAUAUACGCGCGUUUUAAUUUCUUUUUUGCCAAUACUUUUUUUCUUUGUCGAGCACAAUACUUAUAAAUAUUGUGAAAAAAAUUAAUCAAUUUUCUUCGAUCCUCGAUCCUCGGGAGGAAAGAAAAUAUCGAGCACUCUCGACUUUUUUUUUCUUUUUUCUUCAUCGCGAGUACUUCAUUUUUCGACCGUUGUAAAUUGCGAGUAUUGUAAAUAUCGUUUACGCAGUUCGCUUUAUGGAGGGAGGUGUUCUUUUUAUUGAACGAGAGGUAGAGGAUAUAUAAUACAAUGGGAAGAUUGAACGCGCGAAAGAAAGUGACUGGCAGAAGAUAAAUAUACAGUGGCGAGGAAUCGAAAGAAAAGAUUGGUAAUCGGAGCCUGCUCGGCGGCGAUGCAUCGCCUCGAAAAAGCGCGUGGAGAUUGCGGAGAUUGCGCGCGUUCAUCUCGCGAGAGCGUGAAAGGUCGAGUUAAAAAUAAUCGAGCAAACCGGAAAGGAAGAAGGCGAGAUCGCCUUCGUCCGUUCGAGAAUCGUCCUGCGAUUUUUUUUUCCUCCUCUUUUUCUUUUUUCUUUUUUUCUUUUUUUCCUCUCGCGGCGACCAAUACCACCGGUAAUGGCGAGGUUAAACCUGGCGAGAGAGAUUCUGUCGAAACUUUAAUUACUUCCUGUUGACCCCUCGCCGCGGAUAUCUCUGCAACACGCCGGGUCCGCCGGCUUGGUUUCGGUCCAGUGAUCGUCGGGUCAACAGCACACGGGAUUUACUACGGCCGUUCUACACCAGCUCGCAUAAUAUGUAACAAAUUAUAGAAUUCAGGGUGUACAGUUAAAGAUACUGGCGCGAUAUCGUGGCGAUACGCGUCGGAUACAUACAUUUGGCAAAACUGUUGGCGAACAUUAUUUUAUUGUAUCUUUAAUGAGAUGAAUUUAGUGAUCGUGCAGAGUAAUAAUGGAUUCGUGUAUUUUUUUUUUUUUUCGAAUCGAUCCACAAAGUUUCAAUUAAUUCUGUUUAGAUGUAACUUUGUUUAACAGAGUGUGAAAUAAAGCGAAAUUUUGAAUUACAAAAAUGUUCAGCGUUCCAUCACCUUGUUGUAAAAAAUAAUUCUGAAAUUGUAUUAAAAAUGUGGACAACUUUGAUUUUAUUCUCACAUUAACAGAAUUUUCGAGUUAGGUGAUUUUUUUCGUAAAAUAAUCUUCGAAUGUAUUCGUAAUCACUGUGCGUAAUUUAAAUGAAUCACUUUCAUGCGACUAAUCGACAAAUCGCAGAUAUAAAAUUUGCUUCUUUGCUUUUCUCCAACACGUACGUUAAACGGGAUGCAAAGCAAGGUAAGUGCGAUCUCAAACGAUCUGCAACACCGGUACUGUUGGUUCUGGUUGUUACCAACUAGCUAAUAAUAUACAUGCUUAAUCGAUGCAAUUCGAUAAUUUAUCUACAGAUUUAUUUGCCGAAGAAAGAAUACGAAUAUCCAUUUUAUUUUUCGACGUAGAGAGUCUUAAAAUAGUAAUGUAAAAAAAAAUGAAAAAGUUUGAGGAAUUUCAUAUGCAACGUAAAAAUAAAUAUUAUGAACUUUUAAUUUUUUUUUUAUUUUUUCUAAAUAAAUCAAGAGGUUAAUACACUGUCAUUUUUUAAGAGAAAUAAAUUAUGAAAAUAUAUGAUUGAUAGAAAGAUUUUAUUAAUGUAUAAGAAUAAUAAAAGAUAAUGUAUAAAUAUAGUAUAAUAAUCACAAUUAGAACAAUUUAUAACCACAUAAAUUGUGUUCAAAAAUAUCCAAACUACUUUGUUCUGUGAAAAAUGUUUAAGUUUAAAUUUAGAAGAAGAAUUUAUUUCAUCAUUUUCUAAUUAUCAAUAUGCAUACAAAGGUAUCAUAAAAAUUAUCUUUCGAAUAAAUGACAAAUACAGUAAUAUAAUUAAAAGUUUAUGAAACUCAAUUGUUGUUUGAGAGAUAUUUGUGUAAAUUUAAUAUUUAUAAGAAAUUAUCACAAGAAACAAUAAAAAAAAUUGGUCGAAAGAUCAUCACGUUCAAUGCAAUGAUAUCUAAUCAGAACCAACGAAUACAUUCAAUCACUAGCAAGCAAAUAAAUAAUUUAAAUAAAUAAUUCUUUAAAAAGUUAUUUCGAACAUAAAACAUCGCUAAUAACUUAAAAAACUAAUAAAAAUUUUAAUUACGAUAUAAAUGUUUAAGUAACAUUUUACUGAUAUUACAAAUCGUAUAUGAACAAUAAUGUAUAAUCAUUUGUCAAAAUCUUUACUUGAUGGUUCAUAUUUCUAUCCUAUCUCGCAUUUAUAUCCGUUCCCCUCGUAGGCUGAUGAGCUUUCUCGAAAAAAAAAUUUCCGCAUGCGUAAGACAUCUCUGUUCGCGUAACAAUCGAGUCAGACUUCUCCGCGGGAUACAAUUUACUGGAAUCACGGCCGAUCGAAGCGAACGAUUCGAUAUACCGUUCGGCUGCGACGGUAAUUCGCCUGAAUCCAAAAAAAAUCAAAUUUACAAAGCGAACGAGAUAGGCCGAUACGCAUUGUAUCAUAGAAGAACGGUCUUCCUGGUCAGCCGCAGCUCCUCUCUCAAAGACGCCGCGAACAUCGCCAAUAUUAUACCCUUUUUCCGUGUAAUAAACGAGUUACGCUUCUUCCUGCUUCGUUGGGAGUCAAAGCACGCUAAUAAUCGAAUACAGUCCAAGAUAAGCGCGUUUUACGAGCGUAAACUCUCCGAAAUUACGACAAUCACCGUUUAUCGAACGAUAUCUGUUAAUACUUGGUCACGAUACGCGCAUAUCUUAAUUGAAUUUCUGUUUCUAAGUAGAACGUGUCUUGGAACCUCUCAAGAUCUUCUAAAACGUGGUUCUAAUUUAAUCGCGAGAGAAGAAAGAAAGAAAGAAAGAAUUGGACGAUAAUUUUCACGCGUACGAUUACGAGACGAGAGAAAGAAGACGGAACGAAGAAGGAGAGAUUCGAAUCGUUUCAAAUGGACGUGCGAGAUUGAUAGACGGGAGGCCGAAGGAGGUGUCCGUCACUCCCACGAGCGCGAUUAAGUGAAUCAAUUAUGGCAAUAACUGGAGUGACCAGUCUGGCCAGGGGGCGAUUGGCGAACAAUGUAGAUCAAAUUAUAUCCCCGUAGAAGUUGUACGGCUCGCGCAGCCAAGCUCGUGCACGCGUGCAUGCAUGCAUGCAUGCAUGCAUGCGGAGGAUGGUGCACAAUGGAUGCGCGCCGCCGCUUCCUCCAACGAGAAGUGAACGAGGUAAGGGAAGGAGCGAGUGUGACAAGGGGUGGGGAAGAGGAGAAGGAGGAGAAAUAUGCGGGUCGGUGAACCACGGCAAGGAUGCACACCGACGGGUGGAUGCUGGUGCUCCUUGGAUUUUUGUCCACGAAACGAGAAGCCGAGAAAGAGAGAGAUAUACACGACCGACUCGCAUCCAACUCUCUUUGAGAUCGAUAACAGUGGAAUAAGGAUCUGUUUAACGAACCGGAACGAUUUGAUACGAAUAAACCGUGGCUCAUAAAUAAAAUGAACAAUGUACGGGACUAUGGCUUUUGUUCUUGUUUCCUAGCCGCUAUUCCUGGAGACACGAGCGGAAAAACGGUAGCUUGGAUGAAUUGGAUGGACGUUGUGGUUACAAGAAUAUAACCAAUAGCCGCCUGAUAUUUGAAAAUAUUUGAUUCGAGGAAGAUGACAAGCAGAAAAGCAAUGCCUAUUGGACACUAUUGCCCCACUACUUGAUAUCCCUACUUCACACGUAUUUUCGCAAUUGGCCGAAACGGUCACAUCUACAAUCGAAUCGUGUGACAAAGAAAAUAAAUGAACAUAUCAAGUGUGACUGGAACAGAACGAUGCCGUGACGAUAAUUUCAAAGCAUUGGCGUAAACUCUCAUAAGUAAAGAGUUAACUAUUAACGAAAUAUCCUUAUCCUCAUAGUGUAUAAGAAUCUUACUACUAUGUACACUAAUGUUAAUAAUAAUAUGCUCAGUAAAGCAAACGAAAUUUCGAUUUCCAUCUUUUCGUGGCCGAGCAAUAUAUAUCAUUAAUCAAUGGCUAUCGUAAUGAAGAGAACGUGCGAGAUAGGGAGUGCAUGGCCUCAGAAGCCGAUAAAAAAUUGGUAUGUGUGUCGCUGUUGGCGAAGGAACAAGACAAACGAGUCGCGUUCCAUAAAUCGUCGCGUUCGGUUUAAGUGGCGAGUGGUGGUAGUAAGUGGAGUACUGGGGCGAAAAACUACCUCCCAGAUCGGCUCGAUCUCGCACGUGAACGCGUGUGCACUGUAUACCGUGGCGAUCCGUUACAUCGGAGAAAUGUUCGAUCGGUUACUCACAUACAUACACUUUUUUCAUCCUCGUAUUAUCGUAAUAUCGCCCUUGCACUUUUUUCCACUUCAUUAUAUAAAUUUAUCGCAAUAGAAAUGUAUAUAAUUUCUCUACGAUUUGAUCGAUGCAUGAUGAAAUGAAAUUUCGAAUUAUGAUUUCUCAUUCUUUCAUUUUCUUCCUAUUUAGUUUUCAGUGUUAUUCGAUUACAGUUUUCAAAAAUUGUUAUCGAUACUCGUUCGUUUUGUCUGAUAAUUAAAAAGAAUCGAAAUGUAAUAUUUUCUAAACUUGUGCAGAUUGAAUAUCAUAAAUAGAAUAUUUCGAUAUAUCAAGUUGGACUUAUUUUAUAAUUCAUAGUAUGUACAGCGUAUCUCGAUUAUUGUAGAAUCGUUGCUCGCGGUCAUAUAUCUUUUAAAUGUUAGGUAUUCGACUACAAACCGCGAAUAAAAAAUUUACGUGUAUAAGUAUACACUAUGUAUACACAUAGAGCAUGCAGAAACGGUAACGCAUAAGAUCAUGGUCGUAAGUUAAUUUUAUAUAUUCUUUUUUACAUAUUUUUUUUUGUUUUCUUCGUCUUCUCACGCACAGUUAUCCAGACUACGUUUUUCGCGUGGAUUUGGAUAACGGGAAUAGAAGGACUCGUGCGUUUCGCGCAUGACAUUACCGACUGCUGAAUCAAGAAUUUUGGCCCAGUUCUUUUUACAUUAUUCCCUGUUUAAGAAAGAUAAUUCCGUUCGUUUCGCGUGAAUGCAUUAGGGCGUUCGUAGCCAGAAGAAAUGUUGGCGUGUAAUUCGAGCUUUCCCUGAGCUCGAUCUUUAAUAGAAUUUUCAUUGAAUGAUAUGCGAGGGGGAAUCGCGAUUGUGUGGGGAACGUUAGGUAUACAUGCGCUUAAGGAAAUUGCAUAUUAAAGAUAAUUAGACUAAAACGAGGUAAGAGGGACGGAAUAUUAAGCGAUUAAGAAGAAAUGCAUCACUGCGUGCCAGAGAAAUUAUCGACCAAGGUCGAUGUUGCUACCCGAUAAACACGCGCAGUCCUCAUUCAUAUAAUCUUUUUUCUUUGAAUUUAUCUUUCCAGAAGUUAUCUAUAAAUUAAGUAAUUCGAUUAAAUGACGUAUGUUUUUAUUUGAGAAAUUUUACUUUUUGUCAAAAAAAAAAAAUUCUAACAUGACGAGCGAUAAUAAUCGAUUCUUUCGAUAUAAAAAAUUCGUCUCGUAUUAAUGUAACGAGCGUAAAUAAGACGAGUAGAAUCAAUCUACAGGUUACAAGUUUUUUUCAUCGAACUAUAAUAUAUAGUUGAUGAGAAUUUAAUUAAUUGUAAACCGAUAACAUUAAUGAAACAUUAAUAUAUUCAAAUUUACAGUAGAUA
Molecule: long non-coding RNA, 5725 nt
Organism: Apis cerana (Asiatic honeybee)
Lineage: Eukaryota; Metazoa; Arthropoda; Insecta; Hymenoptera; Apidae
Source: RefSeq, a predicted model, not a curated record